Molecule: ribosomal RNA, 466 nt
Filed under: uncultured bacterium
Lineage: Bacteria
Description: partial 16S ribosomal RNA
Rfam family: Bacterial small subunit ribosomal RNA
Source: RNAcentral
GAUGAACGCUGGCGGCGUGCUUAACACAUGCAAGUCGAACGAUGAAGCCCAGCUUGCUGGGUGGAUUAGUGGCGAACGGGUGAGUAACACGUGAGUAACCUGCCCUUAACUCUGGGAUAAGCCUGGGAAACUGGGUCUAAUACCGGAUAGGAGCGUCCACCGCAUGGUGGGUGUUGGAAAGAUUUAUCGGUUUUGGAUGGACUCGCGGCGUAUCAGCUUGUUGGUGAGGUAAGGGCUCACCAAGGCGACGACGGGUAGCCGGCCUGAGAGGGUGACCGGCCACACCAGGACUGGGACACGGCACAGACUCCUACGGGAGGCAGCAGUGCGGAAUAUUGUACAAUGGGAGGAAGCCUGAUGCAGCGACGCCGCGUGAGGGAUGACGGCCUUCGGGUUGUAAACCUCUUUCAGUAGGGAAGAAGCGAUAGUGACGGUACCUGCAGAAGAAGCACCGGCUAACUACGUG